RNAcentral lists this non-coding RNA (160 nucleotides) under human gut metagenome. RNAcentral's name for it is "Lysine riboswitch". It matches the Rfam family "Lysine riboswitch aptamer". Rfam says of the family: Riboswitches are metabolite binding domains within certain messenger RNAs that serve as precision sensors for their corresponding targets. Allosteric rearrangement of mRNA structure is mediated by ligand binding, and this results in modulation of gene expression. The record is from RNAcentral.
AAGAUAGAGGCGCGGCCGACAAGAGUAGCGCGUUCGCAACGGAGCAGAGAUCCGGAGCGCGUGAAAGGGGAAGCCGCCGAAGUGGAAACGGGUCCUGUACCGUUUUUGCUGGUUCGUCAGAGAACAUCUGCCGGACUGUCACGUAUGUGGAGCGCUAUCG